UGUAUCGGCCGGGAAUCGAACCCUGGCCGCCCGCGUGGCAGGCGAGCAUUCUACCACUAAACCACCGAUGC
RNAcentral lists this transfer RNA (71 nucleotides) under Cordylochernes scorpioides. RNAcentral describes it as "tRNA-Gly". The record is from RNAcentral. Lineage: Eukaryota; Metazoa; Arthropoda; Arachnida; Pseudoscorpiones; Chernetidae.